This 465-nucleotide ribosomal RNA is filed under the name Vreelandella stevensii. Its description in RNAcentral is "partial 16S ribosomal RNA". It matches the Rfam family "Bacterial small subunit ribosomal RNA", at positions 338 to 795 of the family's 1533-position model. Lineage: Bacteria; Pseudomonadati; Pseudomonadota; Gammaproteobacteria; Oceanospirillales; Halomonadaceae. The record is from RNAcentral.
CCUACGGGUGGCUGCAGUGGGGAAUAUUGGACAAUGGGCGAAAGCCUGAUCCAGCCAUGCCGCGUGUGUGAAGAAGGCCUUCGGGUUGUAAAGCACUUUCAGUGGGGAAGAAAGCCUUGGGGCUAAUACCCUCGAGGAAGGACAUCACCCACAGAAGAAGCACCGGCUAACUCCGUGCCAGCAGCCGCGGUAAUACGGAGGGUGCGAGCGUUAAUCGGAAUUACUGGGCGUAAAGUGCGCGUAGGCGGUCUGAUAAGCCGGUUGUGAAAGCCCCGGGCUCAACCUGGGAACGGCAUCCGGAACUGUCAGGCUAGAGUGCAGGAGAGGAAGGUAGAAUUCCCGGUGUAGCGGUGAAAUGCGUAGAGAUCGGGAGGAAUACCAGUGGCGAAGGCGGCCUUCUGGACUGACACUGACGCUGAGGUGCGAAAGCGUGGGUAGCAAACAGGAUUAGAUCCCCGAGUAGUC